This 380-nucleotide ribosomal RNA is filed under the name uncultured eukaryote. RNAcentral's name for it is "partial 18S ribosomal RNA". It matches the Rfam family "Eukaryotic small subunit ribosomal RNA", at positions 592 to 976 of the family's 1831-position model. The record is from RNAcentral.
CAAUAGCGUAUAUUAAAGUUGUUGCGGUUAAAAAGCUCGUAGUUGGAUUUCUGCUGAGGAUGACCGGUCCGCCCUGUGGGUGUGCAUCUGGCUCAGCCUUGGCAUCUUCCUGAAGAACGUAGCUGCACUUGACUGUGUGGUGCGGUAUUUAGGACAUUUACUUUGAGGAAAUUAGAGUGUUUCAAGCAAGCGCACGCUUUGAAUACAUUAGCAUGGAAUAAUAAGAUAGGACCUUGGUUCUAUUUUGUUGGUUUCUAGAGCUGAGGUAAUGAUUGAUAGGGAUAGUUGGGGGCAUUCGUAUUUAACUGUCAGAGGUGAAAUUCCUGGAUUUGUUAAAGACGGACUACUGCGAAAGCAUUUGCCAAGGAUGUUUUCAUUGA